RNAcentral lists this ribosomal RNA (253 nucleotides) under uncultured bacterium. Its description in RNAcentral is "partial 16S ribosomal RNA". It matches the Rfam family "Bacterial small subunit ribosomal RNA", at positions 524 to 776 of the family's 1533-position model. The record is from RNAcentral.
UACGGAGGGGGCUAGCGUUGUUCGGAAUCACUGGGCUUAAAGGGCGCGUAGGCGGGCUGACAAGUCUGGGGUGAAAUGCCGCGGCUCAACCGUGGAACUGCCUUAGAUACUGUCGGCCUCGAGGAAGGUAGGGGCAUGCGGAACUGUAGGUGGAGCGGUGAAAUGCGUUGAUAUCUACAGGAACUCCGGUGGCGAAAGCGGCGUGCUGGACCUUUUCUGACGCUGAGGCGCGAAAGCUAGGGGAGCAAACGGG